RNAcentral lists this long non-coding RNA (1808 nucleotides) under Marmota monax (woodchuck). The record is from RNAcentral. Lineage: Eukaryota; Metazoa; Chordata; Mammalia; Rodentia; Sciuridae.
GUUUUCUUUUCAGCUAGCUUGAGAGUUCUAGCAGUUUGUGGUGUCACUCAUCUUUGAUCCUGGACAUGCAAGUGUUUGAGCUGAGAGGGAAUUAAAUUGAAAAAUGAAUUCAUUAGGUGGUUUAUACUUUAUUCCAGAAACAUAAUAAAUUAUCAGUAAUAGAAGCAAAGGAUAUUGCCAGAUUGUUGUUCUGGGGUGGUAGGGAUCGAACUCGGGAGUGCUUUACCACUGAUUUAUAUCCCCUAUCCUCUUUAUUUUGAGACAGGAUCUUGAUAUAUUGCCAAGGCUUGUCUAAAACUUUGAGAUUCUCCUGCUUCAACUUCCUUGGUUGUGGGAUUACAGGUGUUUACCAUCACCCCUGACUGAGGAUUUUCUUUUUUUGUAUUAGGGAUUGAAUACAGGGGCACUUGCCCACUGAGCCACAUCCCCAGCCCUAUUUUGUAUUUAAUUUAGAGACAGGGUCUCACUGAGUUGCUUAGUGCCUUGCUUUUGCUGAGGCUGGCUUUGAACUCAUGAUCCUCCUGUCUCAGCCUCCCAAACUGCUAGGAUUACAGGUGUGCACCACUGCCACCGUACUCGACUGCAGAUUGUUUUUAUCUGAAACUUAGGCCUCUCUUUACUCUCCUGCUGUCUCUUCAUGACUUUUUUCCUUCUUACCACGGUUAAAAGGAGCUUCUUUGAACAUAUCAUCCAAUUGAUGAGGCGGCUUGCAUAAUGGCUACAUGUUUAUGGAUUUAUGUCCUUCUUGUCUCCCUCUGCCCCUUAAGCAUGUAUGGGUUAUAUUUAUCUUUGGUUCUUCCCUUCACAGUGCCAGUUUUCUUGGAACUGUAAACAUUUUUUAGUAUGGUCAACAGACAGGGAAGAAAAAAAAUCCACAUUUGAUAUUUUGGAAGAAAUAAUCUUGCAGGAUUAAGCCCUUAGAUUACCUAGUGUUGCCUAUUGAAUUGUCUGAGAAGGAGUGCCAAUUAGAAACUUGAAUUUUGGGUAGAGCCUUUAUGAAUGAAUGAAUGUCUCAAAUUCUUCCCAGGAGUGCUCACUGCCCCCCCCCCCCCAAUUGACUUGAGCAUUCUCAAACUUUUCAUAGCAUUUCAAGCAGUUUUCAGUAAAUCAAUUCAAAUCCACAGCUGUUGUUUGGAAAUUUCCUUAAGUUACUGUGAUUCUCAGGAGACACCCAGAAACUCUCCCUAAUUAAUGUACUUAAUCAUACCUUAUAUAAGUCAGACAGGCAAACCCGAUGGAUAAACUAAACUACUCAUGGAAUAGUCAACAGUUCUUGGCCCCAGCAUUUAAUUUUACAAACCCAGAACAACAAUACUUGACAGGCUAUUUUUGGGUAUAGUUUUUGCUUGUCUGAUCUCAAAUUUUCUUGUGUAGCCACUGACUGUUCAUUUCAAAUGGAAAUAGGGGUUGUGGAUAAUGUUAGACUACCACAGAGCUCAGUUUACCCAGUGACUUGGGGAGCAAUGAUUAGGGUUAGGUUAAGGGGAUGGAGAGAAUAGCAGCAUUAGUGACUGCUGACCUGACCUCUGGCCCUUAUGCUGCAUGUCCCUAAAUUGUGCAUGUUAUAGUUUUUCAAUGUUCUUAUUGACGAGCUAAGAAAUUUGUGGCAAACUGGUUAGAGACAGUAUGGUUCAGUGGUAUAAGUAAAUAAGUGGUGGGGAAUAAAAUGCCCCAGAAACAUUUGAUAACAUUUUGUUGGUAAUGAAGUCUGAAAAAAGGAUUGGGGAUAUAUGUAGGUCAAUAGUAGAGCCCUUGUAUAGAAGAACAAGGCCCUGAGUUCAGUUCCCAUACCUGCAAAGACAAAAAAC